UUACCCUGGGUUCACACCUAAGCGUUUUACAGCGCGUUCAAAUGCGCUGUAAAACACUCAACAUAUGAAAACCAAUGCUUCCCUAUUGCCCUGGUUCACACUUGAGCGUUUUUCUGCGCGUUUGAUUGCAUAGGAACGCGCAAAUAUGUUAUUUCGCGCGUUUUUGACCAUAAAAACGCACGUUCGAACGCGCGUUUGGCACGUAGCAACAGUCAUAAAAGGCCACACCCUAGUGAUCGGCAAGUGUCUAGCCUGACCAAGAUGGAGGAAGCAGGCUGUGAUAGUGAGACACUGAUCAGGCUUGUGCAGGCAAAACGCUGCCUGUAUGACAUCCAAGAUGCCAAGUACAAGAACAGGAGAAGCAGGCAUGGGAGGAUAUUGGAGCAAGCAUCUGGCCACAGUGGAAGACAUUCUCAAAAACUGUGAAAGAAGGCAAAGGUGAAAAAAAAAAAAAAACUCCUUGUGUGCACUGGUGUAAAAUCUCUAUGUAAUAGUCCAGCCCACCUCUACCUGCGGCCCUCCAGCUGUUGGCCAACUACAACUCCUAAUAUGCUGUGCUGCAUUUUACUUGCUGUAGCCUGUUUAAGCAUGCAUGGAGUUUUGCUACAGCUGGAGGGCCGCAGCUUCACCAUCCCUGUUCUAGUAUAUGGUCAGUCAAUGGUUCCCCAUCACCCACAUUCUUGCACAAUGUAGUCGGCCAGUAUGCUCAAUUUGCACUUGUUCCAAUCUGGCAAUGUAUUUUAAAUUCAAAUGUUGGCCUACAUUUGUGGUGCGGAUUUGGGUUAUAAAGUUGAUAUGGAUAUUGUCUAUGUUGAAACAUUAUUGUGCUUGUGGGCUAUUGCAGCACUGGCACAUGAUAGGUAAUUGUAUGUCUAUAUAGUACCAGUAUUGGGCACAUAAAUAGGAUCUGUAAUUCCGGCAACAUUGUUUUCCCUUGUUUUAAUGGACGAGUAUUGGGCACAAAAAUGGGAUCCGUAAUUCUGCCAACAUUGUUUUCCCUUGUUAAAGGACGAGUAUUGGUGGGCACUAUUGGGGCUUCUACAAGGGGCACGAUAUAGGUGAAAAAACGGCAUUGCACAAAUUCACUCUUCAAAUCUUUUAAUUCACCCAUUACAAUAAACAAAGAAAAUGGAAUAUUACAAGAUAAAGAAACAAUUUUUGCAGCUGCAAAACACUAAAUAAUAUUAAAUUAUAUGGCUUGCAUUUGCCACGGUAACUCCCCCUGUGGUGUCAUAAAAUAAGCCGCAAAGUGGUCUCGAAUGGCGGCACCAUGUGUGGUCCCACGCACACCGCUGCGAUUCUGCCUCUCCAUGGAAUGGCUCAACGAAUCUUCAAAAUUGAAGCCAUCCCUUUCACGGACAAAAUUGUGAAGAGCACAUGCUGCCUUCACAACCGAGAUGGCAGUCUCCAAUUUCAGAUUUAUGGGAGAAUGCAGAACUCGCCAUUUGUUGGCUAAGAUGCCAAAGGCGCAUUCCACCACCCUGCGUGCUCUUGUCAGGCGAUAGUUAAAAAUAUGCCGCGCAAUGGAUAAAUUACGGGUAGAGUAUGGCCUCAUAAGGUGCUCACCUAGACCAAAUGCCUCGUCACCAAUAAAAACAAAAGGCAUAGAAGGAAAAGUGGUGCCAGGCAGUGUGGUGUUUCCGGGAAGGUCAAGGGCAUUUCUACUGAGCAUUUGCCCAAAGUCAGAAUGCCCAAAAACAGCAGCGUCAGAGCUGCUGCCAUAGGACCCCACAUCGAUGUAACGGAAACAAUAGUUAGCAUCACAUACCGCAAAAAGAACAAACGAAAAGUAUUUUUUAUAAUUAAAAAAACUGACUGCCACUCCUCAUUGGCUUCAGAACGCGGAUGUGUUUUCCAUCAAUUGCUCCGACACAGUUUGGGAAAUUGCAGGUAUUUAUUUGGUUGGCCCAUCACAACAGCAUGAAGGACCUGCCAAAUGGCGCUGCAGGUUUCCCUCACAAUCACACUGACUGUGGAUUUCCCGAUCUGGAAGGUGUAGUGCAGACUGGUCAACGAUUGGCCUGUAGCUAAAUAGCUGAAAAAAAGGUGUGAAAAACGAAAACAACAAUUAAUGGAUGUUAUUUUAUUUUUGUUAUAGUAAACUUCCUAAAAAGCAAGUGGAAGAGCCUCAAAGAUGCCUUUAUUCGUCAUCGACGCAAAGAGAAGGAGCAGAGCUUCGCCAAGUGCACGGUCCAGCUAUGUCCAUGCGGAGGAAAUGGCCUUUCUAAUCCCAUGCACUGAAAUGCGUACACCGAUAGUAGCUGGUCGAAAAGACAACAGCAGGAGGAGGAAGAGGAGGAGGUCACCAGGGACAGUGAGGCCGGUGCGUCUACGGGGCCACUAAGUCCUACUCCACCCGAUCCCACCCCUACAUUCCAAACACCCUCACAGCCUGCCCCACCUGUCGUGGAACCCGAAAACAUUCGGACUCACCGUUCUAAACGGAAAAGAACUGAUCGCCAGGAGGACCGGCUAAUUGCAUGCCUGGAUGCACUUGCCCAUCCAGCACCCAAACUCACUAGUGAUGCACUUUUCUUACUGAGUUUGGAGGAAAAAAUGCUGCUAGUGCACCGAAGUCGCAUAACUGAAGCGAGGGAUGCCUUAACAAGGACUCUAGACAGCUACAUUACACAUUAUGACAUCACACAGCCCAACAAUGCACCACAACAACAUCCACCACACUAUCCACCACAGCAUCCACCACCCACUCACACAUACACAUCACAACAUACCCACAAACUAACAUACCACACCCUCACGACACAUGGCACACACACUCAUCCCUCCACUAGCAUGGGCACCAACACCUCCACCACCACUCAAAUGCAACCUGCCCAGCAAUCAGGCGGAAUGAGAGAGGCCAUGUGGGAUAACGAGCCACAAUACCAAAACCUUUGAGAAGUAGCAUACUUAAUUUGGUGCAUCAGGGGUGUUCUUCCUUCAUUGUUAAUAUCGGAAAAUUACCGAAUAAUUUUAAGUUAACAAUUACAAAACUUAUGUUGAUUGUGUUAAACCCAGUUUGCGCAUUUUUGGAGGAACUGUAAGAUGUUAUUACUUUUCCAAAAUAUAAAAACAUUUGCAAACUU
This is a long non-coding RNA of Bufo gargarizans (Asiatic toad), 3086 nucleotides long. RefSeq lists it as uncharacterized. Lineage: Eukaryota; Metazoa; Chordata; Amphibia; Anura; Bufonidae. The record is from RefSeq and is a predicted model, not a curated record. The transcript has 2 exons.